This 70-nucleotide transfer RNA is filed under the name Anabropsis (Apteranabropsis) sp. QS-2017. RNAcentral describes it as "Apteranabropsis sp. QS-2017 tRNA-Lys". Lineage: Eukaryota; Metazoa; Arthropoda; Insecta; Orthoptera; Anostostomatidae. The record is from RNAcentral.
CAUCAGAUGACUGAAAGUAAGUAGUGGUCUCUUAAACCAUUUAAUAGUAAUUAACAACUACUUCUGAUGA